UUUAUGUGGAGGUUCACGUCGAAUCAUGGCCGAAAGAAAAUAAUUCCUGGAACUUUGCAUGUUUUAUGGGACUUUCCUUAUGAGAGGUGGGUGAUUUGGCUUUUGACCAGCUGAUUUUGCACGUGCUUGACUUCGAUGUAAACAAACUCUCACGCCUUGCUGGAUGGGUGUGUAUUUUUUGGUAUGAAAAUGCUCAUUAAGAACUGUACUACAUGAUGUGAAAGUACAACUUCUGAAAAGUUUACUUUAAGGCAGCAGGGUCAGGUCAAAGAUGAGUAAUUUUGGUAAGAACAUAUAGGCAAAAUUAAUAGAGUGGUGCAACCUGCAGCGCAGCGUAAUACGCCCUCUGGUGAGAGAUUGGGCCGGAAUGGAGAUACUGACGGUGGGCGGUAAAUCUAGUACUGCCGACUCUCGACUGUCCCGGAUUGCGAUGUUUUAUAGAUUAUAUUAAAACCGGAGAACAGAAUAACUUCAUAUUUCUUGGAAACAAUCUCUAUGUCCAAAUUGAUUCAUACAAUUAAAAAAAAACCAACAAUAUUAAUUGGUAUAAAUCCUUAAACUGGAGAUGCAGCAUACUCAAAAGCGGUAAAUCGAGUACUAUGUUUUAAAUGCCAAAACCGAAAACGGAUAUAUACAGGUAUAUAUGAUCAAAGCAUGGUACAAUCAAAAAUUGUGAUCACAUGUUCAAUUAAUACUUUUGAUAUGUGCAAUUAUCACAGAAAUAUUAAAACCCAAUUUUACAAAAAUGAAUUCAUCUAUAUUAAAGUUAAAUAAUCUAUAAAACAUCGCAAUCCGGGACAGUCGGGAGUCGGCAGUACUAGAUUUACCGCCCACUGGUACUCACAUCGGGUACAAGUCAACUCGGCACCUGGUUAAUUCGGCACUUGAAAAAAAAAAGUUAUGAACUCGGCACCUAGUGCAUUCGGACUCGGCACCUAGUGAAUUCGGCACCAAAGUCUGGUCAACUCGGCACCUGUUUUGACAAGUGCAUUGCAUGCAAUACGAUUGUUCGCCCCAGACAAGAGGCCAUCCAGUGUGAUGGAUGUGAACUAUGGCAACACAGAGCAUGUAAUACUGGAAUCAGCCGUGACCAGUAUAAACGAAUAGGGAAACUGCAAGAAGACCUCCAGUGGGUUUGCGCCCGGUGCUUGGAAAAUCCUACUGAUACAGAAGAGUCUGUAGCUGCAGCUGAUGCCACAUUUUACGUGUCUAUAGCCUCACAUGGUUCAUCGGUUGCUGGUGAUGAAGAUGAACAGGAGGGUACAUAUACAUUUUACUACUUCCGGGUACAACAACAUGUGAAAUAUAUAAAGUCGUAACAGAGAAUCGGCGCUAAUAUGUAAUUUGGUGUAUUGUUAAGCGAUCGGCUGCAUACAUGAGACUGGGAAAACCCUGCCAUGUAGUUUAUUUAGGUUCCUAGUCGAUGCUACAGUAAGGAAGCGGUGGAUACAAAGAUGUAAAAACUACAAUUUUGUUGUGUAGUGAGCCACUUUAAGUCAAUAAAGCACCAAAUCCUCAACAUUUAAAAAGCUUCCCUUGAAGACUAUGAUGUUGUAAACUUGCAGUGAGAAAUAUACCUGCUUAAUUAAAGGAAACCAUCCUUGACAAUUGGGAACAUCAUAAUUGAAAGACCCUGGAAAGGGAUCAUGAACACUGUUGGGAGUGUCCAUUCAACUGAAAUAUAAAAGUCAGAAGAAUUGAAGAUUGCAAUGGAUGCAACAGAAGUGACCUAAUAUGACCAAAUUGAUAUGAAUAGCCAGUUUUUCGCUUGCAGUAAUGACAAGAGUCGCCACAAAGAAAAGACCUUAAUGUGUAUUACACCUAAUGCAGCUUAUUUCCAAUCUGUAUGCUGGGUACAAAUCUAAUUUGGCAAUUGUGAACCAUUGUGGCAUUUUAGAGAAGUUGCAAGUUGGUGAUAUAUUCCUGGCGGACAAAGGAUUUUGUAUAUUUGACAAACUUCCAAAUGACAUGACACUUAAUAUCCCAUUCUUUCUUAUAAAUAAAUCCCACUUCUCAAAAGAGGAUGCACAACUUUGCUAUAAAAUUUCCAGAUGCAGAAUCCAUGUUGGAUGGGAAAAUGAGAGAAUAAUUUUUUUUAAAAAAUUCCUUAGCCAUAUUCUAUCAUAGUAUAGAUAUUGAUCUGAAAAAUAUUUCAGAUUUGUGUGGAUCAUGUGAAUUUGCAGGUUCCCCUUUUGAAGGAGAUUGCAGAUAAAUCCUACAACUUAUUAGAUUAAUUGCAUGUAUAUAUAUACCUUAAAUCUGUACAUAUCUGCCACAUUGAAUUUUUAAAGUUAAAAGUAAUAAAUACCAUAUAUGCAAUAUAA
RNA transcript from Ostrea edulis (European flat oyster), 2324 nucleotides. RefSeq lists it as uncharacterized. NCBI's taxonomy places the organism in Eukaryota, Metazoa, Mollusca, Bivalvia, Ostreida, Ostreidae. The transcript has 9 exons. The record is from RefSeq and is a predicted model, not a curated record.